Molecule: ribosomal RNA, 497 nt
Filed under: uncultured bacterium
Lineage: Bacteria
Description: partial 16S ribosomal RNA
Rfam family: Bacterial small subunit ribosomal RNA
Source: RNAcentral
GAUGAACGCUGGCGGCGUGCCUAAUACAUGCCAGUCGAGCGAACAGACGAGGAGCUUGCUCCUCUGACGUUAGCGGCGGACGGGUGAGUAACACGUGGAUAACCUACCUAUAAGACUGGGAUAACUUCGGGAAACCGGAGCUAAUACCGGAUAAUAUAUUGAACCGCAUGGUUCAAUAGUGAAAGACGGUUUUGCUGUCACUUAUAGAUGGAUCCGCGCCGCAUUAGCUAGUUGGUAAGGUAACGGCUUACCAAGGCAACGAUGCGUAGCCGACCUGAGAGGGUGAUCGGCCACACUGGAACUGAGACACGGUCCAGACUCCUACGGGAGGCAGCAGUAGGGAAUCUUCCGCAAUGGGCGAAAGCUUGACGGAGCAACGCCGCGUGAGUGAUGAAGGUCUUCGGAUCGUAAAACUCUGUUAUUAGGGAAGAACAAAUGCGUAAGUAACUAUGCACGUCUUGACGGUACCUAAUCAGAAAGCCACGGCUAACUACGUG